GUUUCAUCUUGCAGGGCUGGGGUAAGAUGAGUUAACUUUGUUAAACAUAUUGGUGUGUCAUAAAUAUGUAUGCCGCCUUAGAAACCAUCAGCUGCCCGAGUCAUAUUGAGUCAUACAUCUGGAACACAGCUGAAGGGGUUAACUAGAAACAGCUGUUUCUAAUCGUGCUUGCGUUUGCUUCCCUACGAAAGGGCAAAGGGAAAGAUAGAAUCCAAAAGACAGAAAAAGGAGCCUUGCAGGGAGAUGGGAAGUCUCCAGCAGCCAAGCUGAUGUGAGGAGAGUCUGGACUCUGAGAAUCAGGAAAGAAUCCUGAUGAAUACCUUAAAAUGGGCUGAAGUUAAAGACAAAUGUAGCAUUAAGAUAGAACACACUCAGUUUAAAUAUACGGCAUGGCCAGUUAUGCAAGUCAAGCUCUCUCUCUCUGAACUGGAGCUCACCAGUUUAGCUAUGCUGCCUUGCUAGUGAACACCAGGGAUCCACGGGUCUCCAUCCAAACACUGGGCUACAAG
This 509-nucleotide long non-coding RNA is filed under the name Mus caroli (Ryukyu mouse). RNAcentral describes it as "lncRNA (MGP_CAROLIEiJ_G0005874.1)". Lineage: Eukaryota; Metazoa; Chordata; Mammalia; Rodentia; Muridae. The record is from RNAcentral.